Molecule: ribosomal RNA, 788 nt
Filed under: uncultured bacterium
Lineage: Bacteria
Description: bacterial SSU rRNA
Rfam family: Bacterial small subunit ribosomal RNA
Source: RNAcentral
UUAGUUGCGAACGGGGUGAGUAACGCGUGAAUAACCUGACUCAAAGAGGGGGAUAACACCCGGAAACAGUUGCUAAUACCGCAUAAGACCACAAUGUCGCAUGACGAAGGGGUCAAAGAUUUAUCGCUNUGAGAGGGGUUCGCGUCCGAUUAGGUAGUUGGUGGGGUAAAGGCCUACCAAGACCAUGAUACGUAGCCGACCUGAGAGGGUGAUCGGCCACACUGGGACUGAGACACGGCCCAGACUCCUACGGGAGGCAGCAGUAGGGAAUCUUCCACAAUGGGUGAAAACCUGAUGGAGCAAUGCCGCGUGAAUGAAGAAGGUCUUCGGAUCGUAAAGUUCUGUUAUUAGAGAAGAACAAGUCAAGGAGUAACUGUCUUGACUUUGACGGUACCUAACCAGAAAGUCACGGCUAACUACGUGCCAGCAGCCGCGGUAAUACGUAGGUGACAAGCGUUGUCCGGAAUUAUUGGGCGUAAAGGGAGCGCAGGCGGUUGGAAUAGUCUGAUGUGAAAGCCCACGGCUUAACCGUGGAAGGUCAUUGGAAACUGUCCAACUUGAAUACAGAAGAGGUAAGUGGAAUUCCAAGUGUAGCGGUGAAAUGCGUAGAUAUUUGGAGGAACACCAGUGGCGAAGGCGACUUACUGGUCUGUAAUUGACGCUGAGGCUCGAAAGCGUGGGUAGCAAACAGGAUUAGAUACCCUGGUAGUCCACGCCGUAAACGAUGAGUGCUAAGUGUUAGGGGGGUUCCGCCCCUUAGUGCUGGAGUUAACGCAUUAAGCACUCCG